This 964-nucleotide non-coding RNA is filed under the name Oreobates lundbergi. RNAcentral's name for it is "partial 12S ribosomal RNA". It matches the Rfam family "Bacterial small subunit ribosomal RNA". The record is from RNAcentral. Lineage: Eukaryota; Metazoa; Chordata; Amphibia; Anura; Strabomantidae.
GAAUCAAAACACUCCUUUAAACACAAAGGCUUGGUCCCAGCCUUAUAAUCAGUUCUUACUUGACUUANACAUGCAAGUUUCCGCACCCCGGUGAAAACGCCCUUAAGCCUCCCCCCCGAGGACAGGAGCCGGUAUCAGGCACAAUAACCCGCCCAAAACACCUAGCAACGUCGCACCCACAAGGGUAUUCAGCAGUGAUAAACAUUGAAUAUAAGUGUCAGCUUGAUUCAGUUUAAGUAUAAAGAGUUAGCAAAUCUGGUGCCAGCCGCCGCGGUCAUACCAGGGACUCAAAUUGAUUGUCUUCGGCGUAAAACGUGAUUUAAGCCAUAAAAUUUACUAGAGUUAAACUUAUUCUAGGCAGUAACAAGCUUGCAGUAAGAAACCCAAAUACGAAAGUUACUCUAUCUACCCAACUUGAACUCACGAAAAUUUGGACACAAACUAGGAUUAGAUACCCUACUAUGCCAAAUAGUAAACUUUAACUUAACCCCACAUCGCCCGGGAAUUACGAGCAAAGCUUAAAACCCAAAGGACUUGACGGUGCCCCAUAUCCUUCUAGAGGAGCCUGUCCUAUAAUUGAUACUCCCCACUUAACCUCACCGCUUUUAGCCCCCCAGUCUGCAUACUUCCGUCGUCAGCUUACCUCGUGAGCGCCAUUCAGUAAGCUAAAUGCUUAUUCACCAGUACGUCAGGUCAAAGUGCAACAAAUAAAGCGGGAAGAGAUGGGCUACACUUUCUAAUUUUAGAAGAUACGAAAACUGAUGUGAAACCUCAGUUAGAAGGCGGAUUUAGUAGUAAAAAGAAAAUAGAGUGUUCUUUUUAAUUUGGCUCUGGGGUAAGUACAUACCGCCCGUCACCCUCUUCUCCGACCUCUAAACCAGUUCAUAACAAUCUACUGUCUUUAUCGAAGAGGCAAGUCGUAACAUGGUAAGUGUACCGGAAGGUGUACUUGGAAACGUAACAU